RNAcentral lists this ribosomal RNA (253 nucleotides) under uncultured bacterium. RNAcentral's name for it is "partial 16S ribosomal RNA". It matches the Rfam family "Bacterial small subunit ribosomal RNA", at positions 524 to 776 of the family's 1533-position model. The record is from RNAcentral.
UACGUAGGGUGCAAGCAUUAAUCGGAUUUAUUGGGCGUAAAGGGCGCGUAGGCGGGCCUGUAAGUCAGACGUGAAAUCCCGGGGCUCAACCCCGGAACAGCAUUUGAAACUACAGGUCUAGAGGGUAGGCGGAGAAAACGGAAUUCCACAAGUAGCGGUGAAAUGCGUAGAUAUGUGGAAGAACACCUGUGGCGAAGGCGGUUUUCUAGCUUAUACCUGACGCUGAUGCGCGAAAGCAAGGGGAUCAAACAGG